RNAcentral lists this ribosomal RNA (277 nucleotides) under uncultured prokaryote. Its description in RNAcentral is "partial 16S ribosomal RNA". It matches the Rfam family "Bacterial small subunit ribosomal RNA", at positions 524 to 800 of the family's 1533-position model. The record is from RNAcentral.
GACGUAGGGGGCGAGCGUUGUCCGGAAUUACUGGGCGUAAAGAGCACGUAGGCGGGAACCUAAGUCAGGUGUGAAAGACAGUGGCUCAACCACGGGGUGGCAUUUGAAACUGGGUUUCUUGAGGGCAGGAGAGGAAAGCAGAAUUCCUGGUGUAGCGGUGAAAUGCGUAGAAAUCAGGAGGAAUACCAGUGGCGAAGGCGGCUUUCUGGACUGACCCUGACGCUGAGGUGCGAAAGCGUGGGUAGCAAACAGGAUUAGAUACCCUGGUAGUCCCUGA